Molecule: long non-coding RNA, 444 nt
Filed under: Mytilus galloprovincialis (Mediterranean mussel)
Lineage: Eukaryota; Metazoa; Mollusca; Bivalvia; Mytilida; Mytilidae
Source: RNAcentral
CCCGGAUGUACUAGCAGGCAGUCAUGCUUUUUUUGCUCCUGCAAAAACUCAAAUUAUCAGGAUCUAGGCUAGCAUAUAAACUUACCAAAUGGACUGAAGUCACAGAUUCAAAGGAUUUUAUUUGAACGGUAAAAUUUAUAUCUCUACAACUUUACAGAUUUCUCAACAUUAAUGAAGAAUAUUUUUUAUCACUACAAGAGCAUUGCUUACGUUGCUAACGUCGUCGGGUUGUUAGUGGCGAUUGAUUGUUCUCCAUUGUUCUUUCAGCAUUCAAUUGCAAAAACAAUAUUUUUAUUAUAUGUAUUUUGAAUCAUAAUGUCGGACUACAAAGAAUUCGAUACCAAAACUAUAUCUAUAUUGAACUCUGUACUUGCUGUCGUGGCAGACCUCCAGACACAAUGCGGAAAGCUUGAGCGCGAAGUUACUAGGAUAUCGCAACUUGAG